Pocillopora damicornis (cauliflower coral) is the source of this 817-nucleotide long non-coding RNA. The record is from RefSeq and is a predicted model, not a curated record. Lineage: Eukaryota; Metazoa; Cnidaria; Anthozoa; Scleractinia; Pocilloporidae.
CCUGCAAGUAAAUCUCUGGGAUUUUUCGAGGCAGAGCGAUGACAUGAUGUCAGAAUUUUGAUUUGCUUUAAUUUAAUUUUUGCGCUGAGACUACUGAAUUUGCAUUCAAUGCCUGGCAUAUUUUUAUUCCGAAAAGGACCUGAGAACUAAUAUAUUUCCCUACAAGAACAUAAACAAAUAUGGCCGACGAUUCGAAGAUCAGCGUUGCUCGUGUUUGACUAUUUCAGUCAUAGUUUUCAACAUGGCGUCUCGUCACUUACUCAACAUGGAAAAUAAGGGAUAUUCUGGCGCGUUGGGAAGUUUUUUGAUGGGAGGAAAUGGCAAUUUUACAGGACAUUUGGACCCUUCGAACUCUGUAGCAGUCAAUUCUAUCGAGAGCAGUUGACUUUAUUGAUGCACUUUCCUGUAAUAGGCGAGUGUUUGGGAUGGAGAACGACGGAUUUUGAAGAACUGUAUGGCGACCUAGGUCAAUGAUCAAUGACAAAAGAACUGGCUGAGGAAUUACUCCAACUCUAAUGAUGCAAUUACAAGGAACAGAAUACCAAAAUCCUUCCUUUAAUAACUCUUGAUACAAAUUUUCAGAGUGGGGUAAAACAUGCGAAUCAACGCAACUGCCGAAGCCAAGCCUAGUUUCCAUCAAAACUGGAUACGAAUGGAUUUUUAUGAACAAAGAGAGUCGAAACCGCUCUUUAUAGUUCUAUCAUAUUGGUUUGAAAAAAAAGCCGACAUGUGGACUUGGUUGAGUGGAAGACCGCUGACUAUUUUGCUAACAGGGGAAAAAAAAAAAACCAGCCAACACGUAAGAGAGACGUGGCUG